GUCGUUCCUUUUUUUUUUCUCUUUUUUUUUGGGUUUCUUCUGAAAAAUCGACGGGGAGUUUUUUUCAAAAAAAAUACAAACAAAGAAUG
This 89-nucleotide non-coding RNA is filed under the name Palpitomonas bilix. The record is from RNAcentral.